GAUGAACGCUGGCGGCGUGCCUAAUACAUGCAAGUCGAACGAAACUUCUUUAUCACCGAGUGCUUGCACUCACCGAUACAGAGUUGAGUGGCGAACGGGUGAGUAACACGUGGGCAACCUGCCCAAAAGAGGGGGAUAACACUUGGAAACAGGUGCUAAUACCGCAUAACCAUAGUUACCGCAUGGUAACUAUGUAAAAGGUGGCUAUACUACCGCUUUUGGAUGGGCCCGCGGCGCAUUAGCUAGUUGGUAGGGUAAAGGCUUACCAAGGCAAUGAUGCGUAGCCGAAUUGAGAGGGUGAUCGGCCACAUUGGGACUGAGACACGGCCCAAACUCCUACGGGAGGCAGCAGUAGGGAAUCUUCCACAAUGGGCGAAAGCCUGAUGGAGCAACGCCGCGUGGGUGAAGAAGGUCUUCGGAUCGUAAAACCCUGUUGUUAGAGAAGAAAGUGCGUGAGAGUAACUGUUCACGUUUCGACGGUAUCUAACCAGAAAGCCACGGCUAACUACGUG
This 512-nucleotide ribosomal RNA is filed under the name uncultured bacterium. RNAcentral's name for it is "partial 16S ribosomal RNA". It matches the Rfam family "Bacterial small subunit ribosomal RNA", at positions 28 to 507 of the family's 1533-position model. The record is from RNAcentral.